This 254-nucleotide ribosomal RNA is filed under the name uncultured bacterium. RNAcentral describes it as "partial 16S ribosomal RNA". It matches the Rfam family "Bacterial small subunit ribosomal RNA", at positions 524 to 776 of the family's 1533-position model. The record is from RNAcentral.
CACGUAGGGCGCAAGCGUUUGUCCGGAAUUAUUGGGCGUAAAGAGCUCGUAGGCGGUCUGUUGCGUCCGCUGUGAAAACUCGGGGCUUAACCCCGAGCCUGCAGUGGAUACGGGCAGACUAGAGUGCGGUAGGGGAGAUUGGAAUUCCUGGUGUAGCGGUGGAAUGCGCAGAUAUCAGGAGGAACACCGAUGGCGAAGGCAGCUCGCUGGGACGUUACUGACGCUGAGACGCGAAAGCGUGGGGAGCAAACAGG